This 657-nucleotide ribosomal RNA is filed under the name Cronobacter sakazakii. Its description in RNAcentral is "bacterial SSU rRNA". It matches the Rfam family "Bacterial small subunit ribosomal RNA", at positions 28 to 674 of the family's 1533-position model. Lineage: Bacteria; Pseudomonadati; Pseudomonadota; Gammaproteobacteria; Enterobacterales; Enterobacteriaceae. The record is from RNAcentral.
AUUGAACGCUGGCGGCAGGCCUAACACAUGCAAGUCGAACGGUAACAGGGAGCAGCUUGCUGCUCUGCUGACGAGUGGCGGACGGGUGAGUAAUGUCUGGGAAACUGCCUGAUGGAGGGGGAUAACUACUGGAAACGGUAGCUAAUACCGCAUAACGUCUACGGACCAAAGUGGGGGACCUUCGGGCCUCAUGCCAUCAGAUGUGCCCAGAUGGGAUUAGCUAGUAGGUGGGGUAACGGCUCACCUAGGCGACGAUCCCUAGCUGGUCUGAGAGGAUGACCAGCCACACUGGAACUGAGACACGGUCCAGACUCCUACGGGAGGCAGCAGUGGGGAAUAUUGCACAAUGGGCGCAAGCCUGAUGCAGCCAUGCCGCGUGUAUGAAGAAGGCCUUCGGGUUGUAAAGUACUUUCAGCGGGGAGGAAGGCGUUGUGGUUAAUAACCACAGCGAUUGACGUUACCCGCAGAAGAAGCACCGGCUAACUCCGUGCCAGCAGCCGCGGUAAUACGGAGGGUGCAAGCGUUAAUCGGAAUUACUGGGCGUAAAGCGCACGCAGGCGGUCUGUUAAGUCAGAUGUGAAAUCCCCGGGCUCAACCUGGGAACUGCAUUUGAAACUGGCAGGCUUGAGUCUCGUAGAGGGGGGUAGAAUUCCAGGU